Molecule: ribosomal RNA, 1478 nt
Filed under: Lactobacillus sp. rennanqilfy17
Lineage: Bacteria; Bacillati; Bacillota; Bacilli; Lactobacillales; Lactobacillaceae
Description: partial 16S ribosomal RNA
Rfam family: Bacterial small subunit ribosomal RNA
Source: RNAcentral
AGAGUUUGAUCCUGGCUCAGGAUGAACGCUGGCGGCGUGCCUAAUACAUGCAAGUCGAACGAGUUCUCGUUGAUGAUCGGUGCUUGCACCGAGAUUCAACAUGGAACGAGUGGCGGACGGGUGAAUAACACGUGGGUAACCUGCCCUUAAGUGGGGGAUAACAUUUGGAAACAGAUGCUAAUACCGCAUAGAUCCAAGAACCGCAUGGUUCUUGGCUGAAAGAUGGCGUAAGCUAUCGCUUUUGGAUGGACCCGCGGCGUAUUAGCUAGUUGGUGAGGUAAUGGCUCACCAAGGCGAUGAUACGUAGCCGAACUGAGAGGUUGAUCGGCCACAUUGGGACUGAGACACGGCCCAAACUCCUACGGGAGGCAGCAGUAGGGAAUCUUCCACAAUGGACGCAAGUCUGAUGGAGCAACGCCGCGUGAGUGAAGAAGGCUUUCGGGUCGUAAAACUCUGUUGUUGGAGAAGAAUGGUCGGCAGAGUAACUGUUGUCGGCGUGACGGUAUCCAACCAGAAAGCCACGGCUAACUACGUGCCAGCAGCCCGCGGUAAUACGUAGUGGCAAGCGUUAUCCGGAUUUAUUGGGCGUAAAGCGAGCGCAGGCGGUUUUUUAAGUCUGAUGUGAAAGCCCUCGGCUUAACCGAGGAAGCGCAUCGGAAACUGGGAAACUUGAGUGCAGAAGAGGACAGUGGAACUCCAUGUGUAGCGGUGAAAUGCGUAGAUAUAUGGAAGAACACCAGUGGCGAAGGCGGCUGUCUGGUCUGUAACUGACGCUGAGGCUCGAAAGCAUGGGUAGCGAACAGGAUUAGAUACCCUGGUAGUCCAUGCCGUAAACGAUGAAUGCUAGGUGUUGGAGGGUUUCCGCCCUUCAGUGCCGCAGCUAACGCAUUAAGCAUUCCGCCUGGGGAGUACGACCGCAAGGUUGAAACUCAAAGGAAUUGACGGGGGCCCGCACAAGCGGUGGAGCAUGUGGUUUAAUUCGAAGCAACGCGAAGAACCUUACCAGGUCUUGACAUCUUUUGAUCACCUGAGAGAUCAGGCUUCCCCUUCGGGGGCAAAAUGACAGGUGGUGCAUGGUUGUCGUUAGUAAGACUGCCGGUGACAAACCGGAGGAAGGUGGGGAUGACGUCAAAUCAUCAUGCCCCUUAUGACCUGGGCUACACACGUGCUACAAUGGAUGGUACAACGAGUUGCGAGACCGCGAGGUCAAGCUAAUCUCUUAAAGCCAUUCUCAGUUCGGACUGUAGGCUGCAACUCGCCUACACGAAGUCGGAAUCGCUAGUAAUCGCGGAUCAGCACGCCGCGGUGAAUACGUUCCCGGGCCUUGUACACACCGCCCGUCACACCAUGAGAGUUUGUAACACCCGAAGCCGGUGGCGUAACCCUUUUAGGGAGCGAGCCGUCUAAGGUGGGACAAAUGAUUAGGGUGAAGUCGUAACAAGGUAGCCGUAGGAGAACCUGCGGCUGGAUCACCUCCU